GAAUUCGCCCUUAGAGUUUGAUCCUGGCUCAGGACGAACGCUGGCGGCGUGCCUAACACAUGCAAGUCGAACGGAGCAUUAGAUUUCGGUUUAAUGCUUAGUGGCGAACGGGUGAGUAACGCGUGAGCAACCUGACCUUCAGAGGGGGACAACAGUUGGAAACGACUGCUAAUACCGCAUAAGACCACGACCCGGCAUCGGGAUGAGGUCAAAGGAGCAAUCCGCUGAAGGAGGGGCUCGCGUCCAAUUAGAUAGUUGGCGGGGUAACGGCCCACCAAGUCGACGAUUGGUAGCCGAGCUGAGAGGCUGAUCGGCCACACUGGAACUGAGACACGGUCCAGACUCCUACGGGAGGCAGCAGUGGGGAAUAUUGGGCAAUGGGCGCAAGCCUGACCCAGCAACGCCGCGUGAGGGAAGAAGGCUUUCGGGUUGUAAACCUCUGUCCUUGGUGACGAAGGAAGUGACGGUAGCCAAGGAGGAAGCCCCGGCUAACUACGUGCCAGCAGCCGCGGUAAUACGUAGGGGGCGAGCGUUGUCCGGAAUUACUGGGCGUAAAGGGUGCGUAGGUGGUCUACUAAGUUGGAUGUGAAAUCCCCGGGCUUAACUUGGGGUCUGCAUCCAAGACUGGCGGACUAGAGUGCAGGAGAGGAAAGCGGAAUUCCUAGUGUAGCGGUGAAAUGCGUAGAUAUUAGGAGGAACACCAGUGGCGAAGGCGGCUUUCUGGACUGUAACUGACACUGAGGCACGAAAGCGUGGGGAGCAAACCAGGAUUAGAUACCCUGGUAGUCCACGCUGUAAACGAUGAAUACUAGGUGUAAGGGGUAUCAACUCCCCCGGUGCCGCAGCAAAC
This 850-nucleotide ribosomal RNA is filed under the name uncultured bacterium. RNAcentral's name for it is "bacterial SSU rRNA". It matches the Rfam family "Bacterial small subunit ribosomal RNA", at positions 1 to 856 of the family's 1533-position model. The record is from RNAcentral.